This 248-nucleotide ribosomal RNA is filed under the name uncultured Actinomycetales bacterium. Its description in RNAcentral is "partial 16S ribosomal RNA". It matches the Rfam family "Bacterial small subunit ribosomal RNA", at positions 85 to 334 of the family's 1533-position model. The record is from RNAcentral. Lineage: Bacteria; Bacillati; Actinomycetota; Actinomycetes; Actinomycetales.
GGGGUGCUGAGUGGCGAACGGGUGAGUAACGCGUGAGUAACCUGCCCUUGACUUUGGGAUAACUUCAGGAAACUGGGGCUAAUACCGGAUAGGAGCUCCUGCUGCAUGGUGGGGGUUGGAAAGUUUCGGCGGUUGGGGAUGGACUCGCGGCUUAUCAGCUUGUUGGUGGGGUAGUGGCUUACCAAGGCUUUGACGGGUAGCCGGCCUGAGAGGGUGACCGGCCACAUUGGGACUGAGAUACGGCCCAG